CAAGGGGGAGGGACUUGGACGGCGUAUAUGAUUUUGGACAAAUGAGAUGUGAAAUCAUUUGGAGACGACGGCGGUGGAGAUGUAGCAAUCCGGGCGGGCAGCCCCAACUCCCCUGUUUGCUGCGGGGAGGACAGGGGCUGAGGAUGUGGAGGACGGCGUGCGAGGAAAAAAAAGGAAAAAAAAUUAAAAAAAACAAGAGGACCCGUUAGAUUAAAAAUGGACGGAGCCGGUGGGACGUCACGAUGCGCCGUCGCCACAAAGCUGAGUACGCCGCUCAUGAACGCGCUCAUUUGGCUCCCAGCAUGCCGCACGUCCGGAGGGACCAGUGGUUUCCAGGAGCUCAUCUAAACCCAGAGCAACCAACCCCGCUGCACCCGCGGAGGAGAAAAUCAACACUUGGAAGCAUAGAAGAUGAAGAUCAAGUCUACCUCCAACUUCCAGGUGUAUCAGAGGUUGUGUGUGUGUGUGUGUCUGUGUGUCGCUGGUCGAAAGCUGCGCUCGCAGGCCUGAGGGGUUGUCUGUUAUCUUUGGUUAUCUAGCUGUAUGAGUGACGUACAUUCUUCAUAAAGCUAGAUAACCGAAAGUAACAAGAAUCCCAUUACACGCCUGCGUGGGAAAACAACAUAAAGCACAUACAGAAGAGGAGGAGGAGGAGGAGGUGGUGGAGGAGGAGGUGGCUGAUGGAUGCUGCUAAGCAAUGAGUGAAGGUUUCCGAUCUUCCACCUAAAGCUGGGAGACUCAUCACGCUCGGAGUCACACUGGACUACAUCUUUUUAUCGACCUGGAGCUCAAACACAGUGACAGCUUCUUCUCUCACUGAACGCUGUGACGCCGGACGCUUAAACCGUCAGACGCGGAUACAGACGUCACCGUGGUGUCGUCCAGCCCAGCUGAUCGCGUUCAUCUGAGAGUGGACAGAACGCUUUGAACACUGAAGACGUUUGGCCGCUUUGAGGCUGAAGAUCCGAGUGAACUACGUCCCUGCGGAUUCUUUGUGUGUGUGUGUUGUACGUUGUGCUCUAGGGAGCUGCUCCGCACAGCUGUUCAGGAAACAUCUGCACUAGAUUUUAACGUAGGUCAGAUUAUUCACUACUCACACACACACAAAAAUUCGAUUUAUGUCAUUAGUAAUAUAAUAGAAUUUGAACUUAAUAGAAAUAGUGGGAAGUAGAACAAAAUGCAAAUAUGUUUUUAGAUAUAGAUUUAUGUAUUUUCUUACCUCUUUUUAUUCACUUUUAAAUAUUUUUAGCUAGAAAUUAAAUUUGUCUCGUGUAAAACUGGAUGUUUCAAUCAAAUGUUAGACAAUCUGAGUGAAUGAUGAGUGACAUUUAGAUUUUUUUUGUUUCUUCUAGUGCAAUAUUUGAAGGGUUUUUUUGGUUCAGAUGCAUCAACCACAAGUUUGAAAGAAUUAUAUUUUCAGACACUAACAGCAGUGAACAGUAGAUAUCGGUUUCAUUUCUAUCAUGUUUCCGUAAAACCUUUGUUCCUCAAACUGGUUUUAAACGUUUAAAUCAUUUGGGGUGAGAACACUAAUCAAUGACGCAGCUCUUAUAUGGUGUUAAAAGGUUAUUUCAGAGGCUUAAUUACAUUUGAUUUUGAACACGCAAUAGAAGUAUAAGGAGAAAACUCUGUGGCCGUUUAUUCACGAUGGCUACGAAAUAUUUUGUCCAGUCGAAACUACCCAACGUUUACUUUUAAUCUAUGCAAAAGAAAAUUGGUGGAUUCUCACUAUUUGAACAAGUGUUUGCACUCAAGUAUUCUUGUUUAGUUUGCACAUUAGCUGUAGUUAACGUAAGGGUUCAGGUUGUGUCCACAGACUGAGUGAAAUGUGUUGAACUGUGAUGUUGCACGAUACGGGCACAGGUGCAAUAUGUGUGUGUGUGUGUGUGUGUGCGAUGUUGGUGAAAUGGUAGCCAUAGAAACGGUUAAUGUGUGUGUGUGGUGUUCAGUUGAUUUAAUCAAUAAUUUGCACUGUUUAGUCUCAGAGACUCGAAUCUGCGUUUCUUCCACGUUUCAUUUGUAUCAAAUCAGCUUCUCUGAUAAUUUGAUAACAACUAUGUGACUGGUUUGUGUGGUUUGUGUGAAUGUGUGCGAUGGAUUUUAAUACAGUUUAGAGGGAAUGAUGCGUUUGAUCUUGAUAUUAUGCACUAUAAAUGAUGUCUCAGGAUUCUUAAAUGCUGAAUUUGCACGGCAGAUACUUGUACUAUACUUUUUUACUAUGCAACUGUUUUUAUUGCGACUAAUAUAAUCAAUAAAAGUAUCGAUGUUUACAACGAGA
Long non-coding RNA from Mugil cephalus (flathead mullet), 2278 nucleotides. RefSeq lists it as uncharacterized. The transcript has 4 exons. NCBI's taxonomy places the organism in Eukaryota, Metazoa, Chordata, Actinopteri, Mugiliformes, Mugilidae. The record is from RefSeq and is a predicted model, not a curated record.